Molecule: ribosomal RNA, 286 nt
Filed under: Peronospora sordida
Lineage: Eukaryota; Oomycota; Peronosporomycetes; Peronosporales; Peronosporaceae
Description: partial 28S ribosomal RNA
Source: RNAcentral
GGCUGUCCGUGAGACCAGUCGGCGAUCGGUUUGUCUGCUGUGGCAUUUAAUGGAGGAAUGUUCGAUUCGCGGUAUGGUUGGCUUCGGCUGAACAGACGCUUAUUGGACGUUCUUCCUGCUGUGGCGGUAUGAACUGGUGAACCGUAGUCAUACGUUGACUUGGCUUUUGAAUCGGCUUUGCUGUUGCGAAGUAGAGUGACAGUUUCGGCUGUCGAGAGUCGACCGAUUUGGGAAAUUGUGCCAUGCGACUUCGGUUGCGUAGCAUCUCAACUCGACCUGAUAUCAG